GACAAGAUUCAAUUUUGUGAGACAAAAUUGACCUUUGUCAGACAAAAUUCAAUUUUGUCAAUUGUGUCUCACAAAAUUCAAUUUUGUCAAUUGUGUC
Molecule: small RNA, 97 nt
Filed under: Mytilus galloprovincialis (Mediterranean mussel)
Lineage: Eukaryota; Metazoa; Mollusca; Bivalvia; Mytilida; Mytilidae
Source: RNAcentral